AUUGCUUCUUGGCCUUUUGGCUAAGAUCAAGUGUAGUAUCUGUUCUUAUCAGUUUAAACCUCAUGAUCCAGCUUAAAUUUUGAUGAUGGUGAUAGUGACUGUGUGUACAUGUACAUAUAUGUGUAUGGGAAAAAACAUGUUACAGGAGGCACAGCUGGUACUGUAAAAAUAUACCACACUUUUAAGGCUUUUUGCUGACUUCCU
Molecule: small nuclear RNA, 204 nt
Filed under: Suricata suricatta (meerkat)
Lineage: Eukaryota; Metazoa; Chordata; Mammalia; Carnivora; Herpestidae
Description: U2 spliceosomal RNA (ENSSSUG00005021762.1)
Rfam family: U2 spliceosomal RNA (bases 1-179)
About the family: U2 is a small nuclear RNA (snRNA) component of the spliceosome (involved in pre-mRNA splicing). Complementary binding between U2 snRNA (in an area lying towards the 5' end but 3' to hairpin I) and the branchpoint sequence (BPS) of the intron results the bulging out of an unpaired adenosine, on the BPS, which initiates a nucleophilic attack at the intronic 5' splice site, thus starting the first of two transesterification reactions that mediate splicing.
Source: RNAcentral